This 394-nucleotide ribosomal RNA is filed under the name uncultured Gammaproteobacteria bacterium. RNAcentral's name for it is "bacterial SSU rRNA". It matches the Rfam family "Bacterial small subunit ribosomal RNA", at positions 370 to 779 of the family's 1533-position model. The record is from RNAcentral. Lineage: Bacteria; Pseudomonadati; Pseudomonadota; Gammaproteobacteria.
AAUGGGCGAAAGCCUGACGGAGCAACGCCGCGUGAGGGAUGAAGGCCUCUGGGCUGUAAACCUCUUUUAUCAAGGAAGAAGAUCUGACGGUACUUGAUGAAUAAGCCACGGCUAAUUCCGUGCCAGCAGCCGCGGUAAUACGGGAGUGGCAAGCGUUAUCCGGAAUUAUUGGGCGUAAAGCGUCCGCAGGCGGCCCUUCAAGUCUGCUGUUAAAAAGUGGAGCUUAACUCCAUCAUGGCAGUGGAGACUGUUGGGCUUGAGUGUGGUAGGGGCAGAGGGAAUUCCCGGUGUAGCGGUGAAAUGCGUAGAUAUCGGGAAGAACACCAGUGGCGAAGGCGCUCUGCUGGGCCAUCACUGACGCUCAUGGACGAAAGCCAGGGGAGCGAAAGGGAUU